This is a long non-coding RNA of Anoplophora glabripennis (Asian longhorned beetle), 1034 nucleotides long. RefSeq lists it as uncharacterized. The transcript has 2 exons. The record is from RefSeq and is a predicted model, not a curated record. NCBI's taxonomy places the organism in Eukaryota, Metazoa, Arthropoda, Insecta, Coleoptera, Cerambycidae.
UGAACAUUAGUGUAUAUAGGCAGGGAGGAGAUAAGUGUGAAUACCUGAAUUGUAAUAAAACCAGGAGAAACAGCGCAGAAAUAAGACUUUUUCGUUUUCCACUUGACGAAAAUCGACUAAAACAAUGGAUUUUGAAUUCUGGCAAUGCAUCUCUGGAGCUUUUUGAUAGAGAGGAACUGAGAAAUAAAUGUUUGUGUUCUGAUCACUUUGAGGAAAACGCUUAUGCUUCAGAGAAGAAAAUUAAAUUGAAAAAAAACGACUAUUCCUAUAAGUUAUCUAGAUGUGCCAUCUAGCAGCCAUGAUCAAGAAUUAAAGGUUUUAACUCCAAGAAAAACCUACAAAACUAUCUUCUGCAGUAGUGCAUGGAAGAAAAUUAAAUUUCCAUUCCUCUCCUCCUCGUGAAAGUCCUAAAUUAAGGAAAUAUUUGGAAGAUCUAACUAAUUUGCCAGAUCUGGAAGUUUCAAUCGUCCUUCAAGUAGUUUAAAUACGAAAUGUAAACUACAAGAAAAGAAGAUUAAAUCAUUAAGACAACCAGUUAGAUAUAUUAAAUUAGAUAUAUUACUAUGUUUGCAUUCUACGUUCAAUUCUAAUCAUUUUCAUAUAAGGUUUCACUACAUCUAAACUCAAUAGUUUUUUAAGUUGUAUUUGGGAUCAAAUAAAAAACAGUCCAUUUUUGUACCUGUAUUUAAUUGUUGUCAUUUUUUCUUUGUUAUUUUUAAAUAUUAAAAGAAUAUGUUUGGUAGCAUAUAUUACUAUAAAGACCACUUGCGAAAAUCAUUCGUAAAAUAGUGACAAAUUUGAAGAAAUUUAAAUUAAAAAAUAUAUUUCUAUUAAUUGGCACAUCCUGUAUACUUUUCAAUAUUUCUUUAGAUCUUUCCAAAACUAACAACUUUUGUUAACCAUGUCUUAUCCUCAAUACUUUUGUAGAAAUAUUUUUUUGAUAAACUUCGGAUCUACUUUAACCUAAUGUUGACUCACCCUGUGUAUUAUGGAAGUACGUAUUAUUAACAGACAAAUAUACAUUUUUUUAUUAA